UACGAAGGGGGCUAGCGUUGCUCGGAAUUACUGGGCGUAAAGGGCGCGUAGGCGGACAGUUAAGUCAGAGGUGAAAGCCCAGGGCUCAACCCUGGAAUUGCCUUUGAUACUGGCUGUCUUGAGUAUGGGAGAGGUAAGCGGAACUCCGAGUGUAGAGGUGAAAUUCGUAGAUAUUCGGAAGAACACCAGUGGCGAAGGCGGCUUACUGGCCCAUUACUGACGCUGAGGCGCGAAAGCGUGGGGAGCAAACAGG
Molecule: ribosomal RNA, 253 nt
Filed under: uncultured bacterium
Lineage: Bacteria
Description: partial 16S ribosomal RNA
Rfam family: Bacterial small subunit ribosomal RNA
Source: RNAcentral